UACGUAGGUGGCAAGCGUUGUCCGGAUUUACUGGGCGUAAAGGGCUUGUAGGCGGUUCGUUAAGUCCGGUGUGAAAUCUCCCGGCUCAACUGGGAGGGGUCAUCGGAUACUGGCGGACUUGAGGUGGGCAGAGGAAAGCAGAAUUCCCGGUGUAGCGGUGAAAUGCGUAGAUAUCGGGAGGAAUACCAGUGGCGAAGGCGGCUUUCUGGGCCUAUCCUGACGCUGAGGAGCGAAAGCGUGGGGAGCAAACCGGAUUAGAUACCCGGGUAGUCCACGCCCUAAACGGUGGAUGCUAGGUGUAGGGGGUGUCGACCCCCUCUGUGCCGCAGCUAACGCUUUAAGCAUCCCGCCUGGGGAGUACGACCGCAAGGCUAAA
This 376-nucleotide ribosomal RNA is filed under the name uncultured bacterium. Its description in RNAcentral is "bacterial SSU rRNA". It matches the Rfam family "Bacterial small subunit ribosomal RNA", at positions 524 to 898 of the family's 1533-position model. The record is from RNAcentral.